RNAcentral lists this ribosomal RNA (460 nucleotides) under uncultured bacterium. Its description in RNAcentral is "partial 16S ribosomal RNA". It matches the Rfam family "Bacterial small subunit ribosomal RNA", at positions 338 to 795 of the family's 1533-position model. The record is from RNAcentral.
CCUACGGGCGGCAGCAGUGAGGAAUAUUGGUCAAUGGACGAGAGUCUGAACCAGCCAAGCAGCGUGAAGGAUGACUGCCCUAUGGGUUGUAAACUUCUUUUAUAUGGGAAUAAAAUGUUCCACGUGUGGGAUUUUGUAUGUACCAUAUGAAUAAGGAUCGGCUAACUCCGUGCCAGCAGCCGCGGUAAUACGGAGGAUCCGAGCGGUAUCCGGAUUGAUUGGGUUUAAAGGGAGCGUAGGUGGAUUGUUAAGUCAGUUGUGAAAGUUUGCGGCUCAACCGUAAAAUUGCAGUUGAAACUGGCAGUCUUGAGUGCAGUAGAGGUGGGCGGAAUUCGUGGUGUAGCGGUGAAAUGCUUAGAUAUCACGAAGAACUCCGAUUGCGAAGGCAGCUCACUGGACUGCAACUGACACUGAGGCUCGAAAGUGUGGGUAUCAAACAGGAUUAGAUACCCCAGUAGUC